AGGAUUAACGCUGGCGGCGUGCCUGACACAUGCAAGUCGAACGAGGCCGCAAGGCCGAGUGGCGGACGGGUGAGUAACACGUGACCAACCAACCUCGAAGUUGGGAAUAGCUCUGCGAAAGUAGGGGUAAUACCGAAUGUGGCCCAGGGCGGGCAUCCGCCUUGGUCUAAAGAUUCAUCGCUUCGAGACGGGGUCGCGGCCUAUUAGCUUGUUGGUGAGGUAACGGCUCACCAAGGCGAUGAUGGGUAGCUGGUCUGAGAGGACGACCAGCCACACUGGGACUGAGACACGGCCCAGACUCCUACGGGAGGCAGCAGUGAGGAAUCUUCCGCAAUGGGCGAAAGCCUGACGGAGCAACGCCGCGUGUGGGAUGAAGACUCUAGGGUUGUAAACCACUGUCGGAGGGGACGAUCGUGACGGUACCUCCAAGAAAGCCCCGGCUAACUACGUGCCAGCAGCCGC
Molecule: ribosomal RNA, 462 nt
Filed under: uncultured bacterium
Lineage: Bacteria
Description: SSU rRNA
Rfam family: Bacterial small subunit ribosomal RNA
Source: RNAcentral